This is a long non-coding RNA of Amblyraja radiata (thorny skate), 67 nucleotides long. RefSeq lists it as uncharacterized. The record is from RefSeq and is a predicted model, not a curated record. The transcript is spliced from 3 exons. NCBI's taxonomy places the organism in Eukaryota, Metazoa, Chordata, Chondrichthyes, Rajiformes, Rajidae.
UUCCUGCCUCUAAGGAGGCACCGAGAGCUGGAGAUGUCUUCCAGGGAAGGCAGAGGGCAGCCGAUGA